UACGUAGGGUGCGAGCGUUGUCCGGAUUUAUUGGGCGCAAAGAGCUCGUAGGCGGUCUGUCGCGUCGGAUGUGAAAACCCAGGGCUCAACCCUGGGCCUGCAUUCGAUACGGGCAGACUAGAGUACGGCAGGGGAGGCUGGAAUUCCUGGUGUAGCGGUGAAAUGCGCAGAUAUCAGGAGGAACACCGGUGGCGAAGGCGGGUCUCUGGGCCGAAACUGACGCUGAGGAGCGAAAGCGUGGGGAGCGAACAGG
This 253-nucleotide ribosomal RNA is filed under the name uncultured bacterium. RNAcentral's name for it is "partial 16S ribosomal RNA". It matches the Rfam family "Bacterial small subunit ribosomal RNA", at positions 524 to 776 of the family's 1533-position model. The record is from RNAcentral.